AUUGAACGCUGGCGGCAUGCCUUACACAUGCAAGUCGAACGGUAACGGGUCCUUCGGGAUGCCGACGAGUGGCGAACGGGUGAGUAAUACAUCGGAACGUGCCUAGUAGUGGGGGAUAACUACUCGAAAGAGUGGCUAAUACCGCAUGAGAUCUACGGAUGAAAGCAGGGGAUCGCAAGACCUUGUGCUACUAGAGCGGCCGAUGGCAGAUUAGGUAGUUGGUGGGAUAAAAGCUUACCAAGCCGACGAUCUGUAGCUGGUCUGAGAGGACGAUCAGCCACACUGGGACUGAGACACGGCCCAGACUCCUACGGGAGGCAGCAGUGGGGAAUUUUGGACAAUGGGCGAAAGCCUGAUCCAGCAAUGCCGCGUGCAGGAUGAAGGCCUUCGGGUUGUAAACUGCUUUUGUACGGAACGAAAAGCCCCGGGUUAAUACCCUGGGGUCAUGACGGUACCGUAAGAAUAAGCACCGGCUAACUACGUGCCAGCCGCCGCCGUAA
This 500-nucleotide ribosomal RNA is filed under the name uncultured bacterium. RNAcentral's name for it is "partial 16S ribosomal RNA". It matches the Rfam family "Bacterial small subunit ribosomal RNA", at positions 30 to 523 of the family's 1533-position model. The record is from RNAcentral.